AAAUUGAAGAGUUUGAUCAUGGCUCAGAUUGAACGCUGGCGGCAGGCCUAACACAUGCAAGUCGAACGGUAACAGGAAGCAGCUUGCUGCUUCGCUGAUGAGUGGCGGACGGGUGAGUAAUGUCUGGGAAACUGCCUGAUGGAGGGGGAUAACUACUGGAAACGGUAGCUAAUACCGCAUAACGUCGCAAGACCAAAGAGGGGGACCUUCGGGCCUCUUGCCAUCGGAUGUGCCCAGAUGGGAUUAGCUAGUAGGUGGGGUAACGGCUCACCUAGGCGACGAUCCCUAGCUGGUCUGAGAGGAUGACCAGCCACACUGGAACUGAGACACGGUCCAGACUCCUACGGGAGGCAGCAGUGGGGAAUAUUGCACAAUGGGCGCAAGCCUGAUGCAGCCAUGCCGCGUGUAUGAAGAAGGCCUUCGGGUUGUAAAGUACUUUCAGCGGGGAGGAAGGGAGUAAAGUUAAUACCUUUACUCAUUGACGUUACCCGCAGAAGAAGCACCGGCUAACUCCGUGCCAGCAGCCGCGGUAAUACGGAGGGUGCAAGCGUUAAUCGGAAUUACUGGGCGUAAAGCGCACGCAGGCGGUUUGUUAAGUCAGAUGUGAAAUCCCCGGGCUCAACCUGGGAACUGCAUCUGAUACUGGCAA
Molecule: ribosomal RNA, 649 nt
Filed under: Escherichia coli
Lineage: Bacteria; Pseudomonadati; Pseudomonadota; Gammaproteobacteria; Enterobacterales; Enterobacteriaceae
Description: bacterial SSU rRNA
Rfam family: Bacterial small subunit ribosomal RNA
Source: RNAcentral